UACUUUUUUUUGAAAGUAAGU
This is a non-coding RNA of Caenorhabditis elegans, 21 nucleotides long. NCBI's taxonomy places the organism in Eukaryota, Metazoa, Nematoda, Chromadorea, Rhabditida, Rhabditidae. The record is from Ensembl.